CCGGGCACAGUGGCUCACGCCUGUAAUCCCAGCACUUUGUUAUAAUCAAUGGAGAAAAACUGAAAGCUUUUAAGGUCCAUACAAAGCAAGGAUGUCCGCUCUCACAACUUCUAUUCAAUACAGUACUGGUAGUCCUAGCCAGAGGCAUUGGACAAGAAAAAUAAAUAAAAGGCACAUACAUCAAAAAAUAACUGAAAUUAUCCCUGGUUACAAGUGAUAUGAUCAUACACAUAGAAAGCUCUGAAAACUCAACAACAAGAAAAAACCGUUAAAAGUAAUAAACAAUUUAAAGUUGCUUAUUAUAAAAUCAAUACAAAAAAAUCAGUGGCUUUUUUUUUUUUUUUUAAGACAGAGUCUCACUCUGUCGCCAGGCUGGAGCUCAGUAGGUCACUGUGCCACUGGGCCAUGGGCAACUCCUCCUCACCACCUCUGAUGGAGCAGCCCCAUCCCGAUCUGUGCCUCAGCUUUAUUACUGGUGAGAGCAGAAUGACAGUGCCCACCUCACAGGGUGGAUAGAGUUUUACGUGAAGUAACAUUUUUAAGGCACCGAGCACAGUGCCAGACAUGUGGUAGGCACAAGGUCAGUACUUGCUAAAUAAAUGAGUUAAUUUGCUCCCACCUUUUCUAUUUUGGAUUCUACAUAGUAAGGCAUUCGCCUAGCUCAGGGCAGAGGAUCACCUAUCUGUAUGUUGCCAAACACCAUCCUGCUCUCAGCAAAUACCAAGAUAUUAGACCCUUUCAAAGCAACAUCUUUGAAGCAAUGCAGAAUAGAGUUUCUCCAAUUGUACAAAGAAUAAAACUAAGACAAUCAGACCCUCUCAGAAUGUCAAACAAAGAGUCAGGUAUGUUAGGAAAGUGACUAGGUCUAGGGCUCUCCCUGGCCUCAGGGAUGAUCCCAUAGGAUCGCCAUUUUCAUUGACUACACAGACAUCAAGAAAAAUCUCAUCUCUCUCCUUCUCUCUCUGCCUCUCCUCUCUCUCUCUCAUCAUCUAUCUACAUUCAGGUUAAAUCUCAGGUUCAAUGGAAGGAUAAAAGACAGUAACAAAAUGGAAUGAUUACCU
This 1061-nucleotide long non-coding RNA is filed under the name Pan troglodytes (chimpanzee). RNAcentral describes it as "long non-coding RNA NONPTRT015612". The record is from RNAcentral. Lineage: Eukaryota; Metazoa; Chordata; Mammalia; Primates; Hominidae.